This 322-nucleotide ribosomal RNA is filed under the name uncultured bacterium. RNAcentral's name for it is "bacterial SSU rRNA". It matches the Rfam family "Bacterial small subunit ribosomal RNA", at positions 28 to 334 of the family's 1533-position model. The record is from RNAcentral.
GAUGAACGCUGGCGGCGUGCCUAACACAUGCAAGUCGAACGGACGCUUUGAGAAGAGUCUUCGGAUGAUUCUUAAAGUUGUUAGUGGCGGACGGGUGAGUAACGCGUGGGGAACCUGCCUUUGUCCGGGGGAUAGCAGCUGGAGACGGCUGGUAAUACCGCAUAAGACCACGAAGCCGCAUGGCUUUGCGGUAAAAGAUUUAUCGGACAGAGAUGGACCCGCGUCUGAUUAGCUGGUUGGUGAGGUAACGGCCCACCAAGGCGACGAUCGGUAGCCGGACUGAGAGGUUGAACGGCCACAUUGGGACUGAGACACGGCCCAG